AGAGUUUGAUCCUGGCUCAGGACGAACGCUGGCGGCGUGCUUAACACAUGCAAGUCGAACGAGGUCCAUCCGAUCUUCGGAUUGGUGAAGACCUAGUGGCGAACGGGUGCGUAACACGUGAGAAACCUGCCCCGGUCUCUGGGAUAACAGUUGGAAACGACUGCUAAUACCGGAUGCCGUCGGACCGUCGCAUGGCGGACCGACGAAAGGGUUACCGGAUCGGGAGGGUCUCGCGGCCUAUCAGCUUGUUGGUGAGGUAACGGCUCACCAAGGCAUCGACGGGUAGCUGGUCUGAGAGGAUGAUCAGCCACACUGGGACUGAGACACGGCCCAGACUCCUACGGGAGGCAGCAGUGGGGAAUAUUGCACAAUGGGCGAAAGCCUGAUGCAGCAACGCCGCGUGCGGGAUGAAGGCCCUAGGGUUGUAAACCGCUUUCAGCAGGGAAGAAAAUGACGGUACCUGUAGAAGAAGGUGCGGCCAACUACGUGCCAGCAGCCGCGGUGACACGUAGGCACCAAGCGUUGUCCGGAUUUAUUGGGCGUAAAGAGCUCGUAGGCGGUUCAGUAAGUCGGGUGUGAAAACUCUGGGCUCAACCCAGAGACGCCACCCGAUACUGCUGUGACUAGAGUGCGGUAGGGGAGCGGGGAAUUCCUAGUGUAGCGGUGAAAUGCGCAGAUAUUAGGAGGAACACCAGUGGCGAAGGCGCCGCUCUGGGCCGUAACUGACGCUGAGGAGCGAAAGCGUGGGGAGCAACAGGAUUAGAUACCCUGGUAGUCCACGCCGUAAACGUUGGGCACUAGGUGUGGGUCUCAACCAACGAGAUCCGCGCCGUCGCUAACGCAUUAAGUGCCCCGCCUGGGGAGUACGGUCGCAAGGCUAAAACUUAAAGGGAAUUUGACGG
This 902-nucleotide ribosomal RNA is filed under the name uncultured marine bacterium. Its description in RNAcentral is "bacterial SSU rRNA". It matches the Rfam family "Bacterial small subunit ribosomal RNA", at positions 8 to 916 of the family's 1533-position model. The record is from RNAcentral.